RNAcentral lists this ribosomal RNA (234 nucleotides) under uncultured Pseudomonas sp. RNAcentral describes it as "partial 16S ribosomal RNA". It matches the Rfam family "Bacterial small subunit ribosomal RNA", at positions 909 to 1097 of the family's 1533-position model. Lineage: Bacteria; Pseudomonadati; Pseudomonadota; Gammaproteobacteria; Pseudomonadales; Pseudomonadaceae. The record is from RNAcentral.
AUUGACGGGGGCCCGCACAAGCGGUGGAGCAUGUGGUUUAAUUCGAAGCAACGCGAAGAACCUUACCAGGCCUUGACAUGCAUUUGUGGAAUUGAUCUCGCGCAACCCGGCUUCACGGCCGCUCAUAGCCUGCAAAAAGAAACGUGAUUUGACGUACCGCAACAUCGAUUCGCACGUAAAUGAAACGAUGGGAUCGUCACCGUCGUGUCUGCGUUUGGCUUGAUGACCCCGUAC